Molecule: ribosomal RNA, 376 nt
Filed under: uncultured Legionella sp.
Lineage: Bacteria; Pseudomonadati; Pseudomonadota; Gammaproteobacteria; Legionellales; Legionellaceae
Description: bacterial SSU rRNA
Rfam family: Bacterial small subunit ribosomal RNA
Source: RNAcentral
GUAGCUGGUCUGAGAGGAUGRCCAGCCACACUGGAACUGAGACACGGUCCAGAUUCCUACGGGAGGCAGCAGUGGGGAAUAUUGGACAAUGGGGGCAACCCUGAUCCAGCAAUGCCGCGUGUGUGAAGAAGGCCUGAGGGUUGUAAAGCACUUUCAGUGGGGAGGAGGGUUGAUAGGUUAAGAGCURAUUAAUUGGACGUUACCCACAGAAGAAGCACCGGCUAACUCCGUGCCAGCAGCCGCGGUAAUACGGAGGGUGCGAGCGUUAAUCGGAAUUACUGGGCGUAAAGGGUGCGUAGGUGGUUUAUUAAGUUAUCUGUGAAAUCCCUGGGCUUAACCUGGGCAGGUCAGAUAAGACUGGUWGACUCGAGUAUGG